AUGUUUCUGAAGCUGGUGUCAGAGCCUUGGAAACAUCAGUGUCAGGAUAUAAUUCACUGUACACUGCCACAACAAAACAAACGCCACAGACGGAAGCAAAAUAUGUUUGUGAUUCUACAGAAUAUGGAAAUAAUACACAUGGAAAAUGGAAAUCUUCCUAGCCAUCUGGAACCUGAGCAUUUGCCAUCAAUAUUAGAUCCAGAAGCACCGAAGCUAGCUAGCAUUUUGCCACUGCUUUCAACGAGGCCAGGAAUCACACACAGCCACAAGUGCUCAGAAGGGGAAGCGCAGCGCUGGAGGGGCGGAAGGACUCCCUCUCUGCUCUCAAGAGUUCAAAAUAGUGAGUACCUACCUACCCUGUAUGGAUGUUUCUUGGCAAUUCAUGGCUCAAUUUGAAGUAUUGUAUCAUUUUGUGAGACCCUGAAAGCAGUCGUAUGCCUAAGGGCUUUGCUGGACUGGAGCUAUGGCAUUUGACAGGGUGCACGACUAAGCCGCUGGCCGUUUCACCUCCACUGUAUGAUACCGCUGCAGUAAACUUCAUUUCUGGUGAGGGCAGAAGCAUAGAGGGAAAAAAAAAAGAAAAAGUAUUAGAGAAACAGCUCGUGUGUAAGGCACAUCCUUACUCAGAAUG
This 631-nucleotide long non-coding RNA is filed under the name Numida meleagris (helmeted guineafowl). Its description in RNAcentral is "lncRNA (ENSNMEG00000012966.1)". The record is from RNAcentral. Lineage: Eukaryota; Metazoa; Chordata; Aves; Galliformes; Numididae.